This 88-nucleotide ribosomal RNA is filed under the name Vibrio cholerae. Lineage: Bacteria; Pseudomonadati; Pseudomonadota; Gammaproteobacteria; Vibrionales; Vibrionaceae. The record is from RNAcentral.
CAACCUGAUUCCAUCCCGAACUCAGAAGUGAAACGAAACAGCGUCGAUGGUAGUGUGGGGUCUCCCCAUGUGAGAGUAGAACAUCGCC